UGAGGAAUUUUCCGCAAUGGGCGAAAGCCUGACGGAGCGACGCCGCGUGUGUGAUGAAGUCUUUCGGGAUGUAAAACACUGUCGGCAGGGACGAUAUUGACGGUACCUGCAGAGGAAGGCCCGGCUAACUACGUGCCAGCAGCCGCGGUAAUACGUAGGGGCCAAGCGUUGUUCGGAAUUACUGGGCGUAAAGAGCACGUAGGCGGCUUUGUAAGUCAGUUGUAAAAUCUCUCAGCUUAACUGAGAAUCUGCAAUUGAUACUACAUUGCUAGAGAGUGGUAGAGGGAAGCGGAACUUCCGGUGUAGCGGUGAAAUGCGUAGAUAUCGGAAGGAACAUCAGUGGCGAAGGCGGCUUCCUGGCCCAUUUCUGACGUUGAGGUGCGAAAGCUAGGGGAGCAAACGGG
This 404-nucleotide ribosomal RNA is filed under the name uncultured bacterium. RNAcentral's name for it is "bacterial SSU rRNA". It matches the Rfam family "Bacterial small subunit ribosomal RNA", at positions 355 to 776 of the family's 1533-position model. The record is from RNAcentral.